Molecule: ribosomal RNA, 386 nt
Filed under: Mycale sp.
Lineage: Eukaryota; Metazoa; Porifera; Demospongiae; Poecilosclerida; Mycalidae
Description: partial small subunit ribosomal RNA
Rfam family: Eukaryotic small subunit ribosomal RNA
Source: RNAcentral
AUUCCAGCUCCAAUAGCGUAUAUUAAAGUUGUUGCAGUUAAAAAGCUCGUAGUUGGAUUUCGGGGCGGCCCGACUGGUCCGCCGCGAGGUGAGCACUGGUCGGCCGCCCUUCCUCUCGGAAGCCCCGACUGCUCUUCGUUGCAGUGGUCGGGGAGUUCGGGACGUUUACUUUGAAAAAAUUAGAGUGUUCAAGGCAGGCCUUCGCCUGAAUACAUUAGCAUGGAAUAAUGGAAGAGGACUUCGGUCCCGUUUUGUUGGUUUCUUGGACCGAAGUAAUGAUUAAGAGGGACAGUUGGGGGCAUUCGUAUUUAAUUGUCAGAGGUGAAAUUCUCGGAUUUAUGAAAGACGAACGACUGCGAAAGCAUUUGCCAAGGAUGUUUUCAUCG